Long non-coding RNA from Tympanuchus pallidicinctus (lesser prairie-chicken), 350 nucleotides. RefSeq lists it as uncharacterized. Lineage: Eukaryota; Metazoa; Chordata; Aves; Galliformes; Phasianidae. The record is from RefSeq and is a predicted model, not a curated record. The transcript is spliced from 3 exons.
UAUGGGGUCGGUUAUGGGGUUAUGGGGUCAGGUAUGGGGUUAUGGGGUCAGGUAUGGGGUUAUGGGGUCACUUAUGGGGUUAUGGGGUCGCUUAUGGGGUCACUUAUGGGGUUAUGGGGUCACUUAUGAGGUUAUGGGGUCACUUAUGGGGUCACUUAUGGGGUCAUGGGGUCGGUUAUGGGGUCAGUUAUGGGGUUAUGGGGUCACUUAUGGGGUCACUUAUGGGGUUAUGGGGUCAGUUAUGGGGUUAUGGGGUCGGUUAUGGGGUUAUGGGGUUGGUUAUGGGGUUAUGGGGUCACUUAUGGGGUCAUGGGGUCAGGUAUGGGGUUAUGGGGUCAGUUAUGGGGUCA